CGUAUUUUGCAUAUGAUCUCUAUCGAUCCUUUGAUCGUUGAAAUCGUCGAAUUAAAUUAUUCCCGAAUAUCGAAAUAUCCAUCCCAAAACAUUAUACGCUGACACAUCUCGCAAACGAUAGGGAGAUAUUUCCGGAGCGUAAAAUUUCUCGAUUGAUGGCGAAGAAUUCGAUUUACGUCGCUGUGAACGACGCUUAAUCGAGAGCCUACGGAAAGGUACCACGAACAGUUCGCUCGCAUAAUGGGCAUAGGGCGAACCCAAGAAGAAUCGUGGACCAAAGCCGCACCUUGUGCUGGCCACGAACUCACCGCCAUGUGUCACGGGGCAAGAAAAAGAAAGGAAGAGAGAGAAAGGAAGAGGGAGAAAGAGGGGAAUCU
RNAcentral lists this unclassified non-coding RNA (377 nucleotides) under Bombus terrestris (buff-tailed bumblebee). Its description in RNAcentral is "misc RNA ENSBTSG00005033194.1". Lineage: Eukaryota; Metazoa; Arthropoda; Insecta; Hymenoptera; Apidae. The record is from RNAcentral.